RNAcentral lists this ribosomal RNA (309 nucleotides) under Triticum aestivum (bread wheat). Its description in RNAcentral is "partial small subunit ribosomal RNA". Lineage: Eukaryota; Viridiplantae; Streptophyta; Magnoliopsida; Poales; Poaceae. The record is from RNAcentral.
AUGUUCUUCUUGAGUGAGGCUGAAAAGAAUCCAGUUGACAUGGAGGAAGCAGGGAAGGGUCUUGAUUGGGUUCAUUCAAAGGAGAAAUACAAGGAAUAUUUGAAGCAACUUCCUGAUAUCAGCUCCAGCAAGAGCAAGGCAGCAUCUGUGGCAAACCCUCAUGUGGUCCAGAAGAGCAAAGGAGUUACAAUGAAGAAGAAUCUGAAGUUGCCUCAAACCAGGCAACAGAUGCCGAGGGCAGAUGCAGAAAUAAAUGUGGACAAGGAAGAUGUGGCGCAAACUGUUGUGCUAACUGUAGUGAUCAGAUAG